UCCGAUUCUUCCUCCCUAGGCUCUGGGCUCGGCGUCUCAGGCUCAGGAGUUUGGAAGCUACAAUCAGCAGAAGCAGAAUGGGUCACUGUUGCUAGGACAAGAAAAACAACAGCAGCAACGGCAGCUCGGACUAACUUCCUGUAGGCUACCUGCCCAGCACCGGCAGCAGACACAGUGAGGGACCAGCUGGGGAUGGAGACCAAACCAGAGUUAAACGGAGAGCGAAUAUUCCUCCGCCCUGAGGUGGCUCAAGUAAAUCCCGUAAUGCAGCUCUAAAUCACUAUGCAUUACUUGCCUUGACUGACAGGUGUCUCAGCCUAUAGUCUUUCUGGCUGCACUGAUAUGGGGUCAAAAGCAUUUUGGGACUUAAAAAUGGAGUCACACGCCAGAGAAAGUUGAAGAGUUCUUAGCACAAAGACACACCCACACACACCUGUUUUCGGUGGUAGUGUUCGUUGGCGAGCUUGUCAGUUCUUGCUCUCUGCUUUCGUCAUCCUCAAAAGGCUGAAGGUUUACAAUCUCCACAUGCUGAGGCUCCAUACCCAGGUCCAGAAUCACCACCCUAUUGCUUUCACACAGCUGAAACACAAACACACAAAGACCUUAAUUAGAAAAUGGAGAGUUUAGCAUGCUGUGCAUGGCCAUGUUGUGCAGGAAAAGACAUCUAAAGAGCAGUAUUCGUAGAAGGAAUUAGCCAGUUCUCUUUAUUCAAAGCAAACUGGAAGUCCACUUUUUUAAUCAUAGCAAUAGGAAUUGUGCUUCCAAGUAUGCUGUCAGUGUAACAUGCAGUGCAAGACUACUGCUGUGUGAGUACUGACCACCACAGCUAAGAGUAAAAUAUGUAAGUAUACCUGAUGGUGGAUGAUAACAGAGGUCAGCUAGUGAACUGGGUGAAUGAAAGAACAUGUCUGUGUGUCUCUGUCUAUGGUGGAAUGAGGGUGGUGCGUACAGUCUAGGGCUCCACAGAGCUCCCGAGUGGCACCCACUGGAGAGCAGCCCAGUCCCAGCUAGCAAUCCUGACUGAAUCCAGAAGAUAAACCUCUUAAAGCCAACCUGGCUUUUUCCACAUUCCCACAAAUCCUCUGUUAUUGUCCCAGAUUACACUCAGAGAUGUUACGACCACAAUGGCAGAUUAGCUGCUGUGUGGCAGACAGGCCUGGGAUUCCAGACAGUGAAUUUAACAGAGAGAGCUGUGUAUACUGAAGCUGUGUGUCCUUCUCUUCCACCUGCUGCUCCUGUAGCCUCCAGCACACUGCACUGUACCAGUACUAUGAGCUGACAGAUACCAAGGCCAGUAUUAUUCUGGACAAACAUUCAUAGGCAACAAUAAAAAAUAAAAACGUAUUGAGUAA
This is a long non-coding RNA of Micropterus dolomieu (smallmouth bass), 1352 nucleotides long. RefSeq lists it as uncharacterized. The record is from RefSeq and is a predicted model, not a curated record. Lineage: Eukaryota; Metazoa; Chordata; Actinopteri; Centrarchiformes; Centrarchidae. The transcript is spliced from 2 exons.